RNAcentral lists this unclassified non-coding RNA (90 nucleotides) under Pseudomonas antarctica. Lineage: Bacteria; Pseudomonadati; Pseudomonadota; Gammaproteobacteria; Pseudomonadales; Pseudomonadaceae. The record is from RNAcentral.
UCUGGGAGCUGGCUUGCCGGCGAUGACGGUGUGUCAGGCGAUUACUGCUUCGUCUGAUGAACCGUCAUCGCCGGCAAGCCAGCUCCCACA